This 449-nucleotide ribosomal RNA is filed under the name uncultured bacterium. Its description in RNAcentral is "bacterial SSU rRNA". It matches the Rfam family "Bacterial small subunit ribosomal RNA", at positions 28 to 482 of the family's 1533-position model. The record is from RNAcentral.
GACGAACGCUGGCGGCAUGCCUAACACAUGCAAGUCGAACGGAACUUUGAGAAUGAAGUUUUCGGAUGGAUUUUUUAAAGUUUAGUGGCGGACGGGUGAGUAACGCGUGAGCAACCUGCCUUUCAGAGGGGGACAACAGUUGGAAACGACUGCUAAUACCGCAUAAUGUAUCGAGAUCGCAUGACCUUGAUACCAAAGAUUUUAUCGCUGAAAGAUGGGCUCGCGUACGAUUAGAUAGUUGGUGGGGUAACGGCUCACCAAGGCGACGAUCAGUAGCCGGUCUGAGAGGAUGAACGGCCACAUUGGGACUGAGAUACGGCCCAGACUCCUACGGGAGGCAGCAGUGGGGAAUAUUGGGCAAUGGGGGAAACCCUGACCCAGCAACGCCGCGUGAAGGAGAAGGCCUGGUGUAACUCUUUACCUAGGACGAAGAACGUGACGGUACCUGG